ACGAAGGGUGCAAGCGUUACUCGGAAUUACUGGGCGUAAAGCGUGCGUAGGUGGUUCGUUAAGUCUGUCGUGAAAGCCCCGGGCUCAACCUGGGAAUGGCGAUGGAUACUGGCGAGCUAGAGUGCGGUAGAGGAGAGUGGAAUUCCCGGUGUAGCAGUGAAAUGCGUAGAUAUCAGGAGGAAUACCGAUGGCGAAGGCAGGUCUCUGGGCUGACACUGACGCUCAUGCACGAAAGCGUGGGGAGCAAACAGGA
This 253-nucleotide ribosomal RNA is filed under the name uncultured prokaryote. Its description in RNAcentral is "partial 16S ribosomal RNA". It matches the Rfam family "Bacterial small subunit ribosomal RNA", at positions 525 to 777 of the family's 1533-position model. The record is from RNAcentral.